Non-coding RNA from Drosophila melanogaster (fruit fly), 471 nucleotides. Lineage: Eukaryota; Metazoa; Arthropoda; Insecta; Diptera; Drosophilidae. The record is from Ensembl.
GUGGACUGGGAGGGGCAAAGGUCAGAGCGCGGCAUGAGCACAAAAGAACUUAGUGCUUCCUAAUUGCGCACUAAAUUAACCGAAAUCAACAGCAAAACAACGGAAAACCAGCUGGAAGAAUAAAUAAUAAUGAAUGGAAGGCGAACUGGACUCGAAUCGGAUCGUAAAGAUCGUCAGCGCACAUUGAACAUGAAAUGCACCGCCAAUCAAAAAGGCGCACAUAAAAUUAUCCAGUGAAUUGCCGAAAAGAAAAUUAACUCCCAACUCUUGCGCCCACCCUCGCCCCAAUAAAUGGUUAUAAUCUACGUACUGUUUAAAUUUCAAAACUCAACUUGUGGUGUCUGCCGCAUCUGCUGGCACCGCCUCUUGUGUCAAAACUGCGGCUGCUGAUUUUCAGCGGGUUCCGAAUCGAGAUCCGAAACAAUUCAAUUCGUCUCGGAAUUUCAAGCAAAUGAGAAGUUUGGGGAUAAU